UACGUAGGGUGCAAGCGUUGUCCGGAAUUAUUGGGCGUAAAGAGCUCGUAGGCGGUGUGUCGCGUCGGCCGUGAAAACCUGCAGCUUAACUGUGGGCUUGCGGUCGAUACGGGCAUCACUGGAGUUCGGCAGGGGAGACUGGAAUUCCUGGUGUAGCGGUGAAAUGCGCAGAUAUCAGGAGGAACACCGAUGGCGAAGGCAGGUCUCUGGGCAUUAACUGACGCUGAGGAGCGAAAGCAUGGGGAGCGAACAGG
This 254-nucleotide ribosomal RNA is filed under the name uncultured bacterium. Its description in RNAcentral is "partial 16S ribosomal RNA". It matches the Rfam family "Bacterial small subunit ribosomal RNA", at positions 524 to 776 of the family's 1533-position model. The record is from RNAcentral.